This 324-nucleotide long non-coding RNA is filed under the name Gossypium barbadense (sea-island cotton). RNAcentral describes it as "long non-coding RNA (GBAR_LNC010717)". Lineage: Eukaryota; Viridiplantae; Streptophyta; Magnoliopsida; Malvales; Malvaceae. The record is from RNAcentral.
UUUGACUUUGAAUUGAAUGAAUAAAGAGAUAAAACAAAGAUAAAAAUGAAGAAAUGAAAGCUAACUUUAAAUAAUUACAUCUUUUUUUCAAUUUUUAUGAUUCAAUCAUCGUCGAGUUGUGAAAAUAGAAACAAUUAAAAUUAAAACUUAACUUAAACAAUAGCAACAGCCAUCAGAAAACAAUCGAAUUACUUGGGGUUUAAAGGCAGCUGCGUUCCUUGGCAAACUUUCUUUUCAGCCUUUUGAAAGAAAAUCCUCUCUUUGGUCCUUAUUCUCAUACGUAAGCCGCAUCUACCCCAUCUCUAAAUCAGAUGGUUUUAAACC